This 800-nucleotide ribosomal RNA is filed under the name uncultured bacterium. RNAcentral's name for it is "bacterial SSU rRNA". It matches the Rfam family "Bacterial small subunit ribosomal RNA", at positions 9 to 808 of the family's 1533-position model. The record is from RNAcentral.
GAGUUUGAUCCUGGCUCAGGAUGAACGCUAGCGGCAGGCUUAACACAUGCAAGUCGAGGGGUAGAGUUAGCUUGCUAACUUGAGACCGGCGCACGGGUGCGUAACGCGUAUGCAAUCUACCUUUUACAGAGGGAUAGCCCAGAGAAAUUUGGAUUAAUACCUCAUAGUAUCUUUGCCUGGCAUCAGGUGAUUAUUAAAGUUCCAACGGUAAAAGAUGAGCAUGCGUCCUAUUAGCUAGAUGGUAAGGUAACGGCUUACCAUGGCAACGAUAGGUAGGGGUCCUGAGAGGGAGAUCCCCCACACUGGUACUGAGACACGGACCAGACUCCUACGGGAGGCAGCAGUGAGGAAUAUUGGACAAUGGGCGCAAGCCUGAUCCAGCCAUGCCGCGUGCAGGAAGAAGCAUCUAUGGUGUGUAAACUGCUUUUGUACGGGAAGAAACACUCCCUCGUGAGGGAGCUUGACGGUACCGUAAGAAUAAGGAUCGGCUAACUCCGUGCCAGCAGCCGCGGUAAUACGGAGGAUCCAAGCGUUAUCCGGAAUCAUUGGGUUUAAAGGGUCCGUAGGCGGUUUUGUAAGUCAGUGGUGAAAUCUGGUCGCUCAACGAUCAAACGGCCAUUGAUACUGCAAGACUUGAAUUACUGGGAAGUAACUAGAAUAUGUAGUGUAGCGGUGAAAUGCUUAGAUAUUACAUGGAAUACCAAUUGCGAAGGCAGGUUACUACCAGUGGAUUGACGCUGAUGGACGAAAGCGUGGGGAGCGAACAGGAUUAGAUACCCUGGUAGUCCACGCCGUAAACG